Molecule: ribosomal RNA, 497 nt
Filed under: uncultured bacterium
Lineage: Bacteria
Description: partial 16S ribosomal RNA
Rfam family: Bacterial small subunit ribosomal RNA
Source: RNAcentral
GAUGAACGCUGGCGGCGUGCCUAAUACAUGCAAGUCGAGCGAACAGACGAGGAGCUUGCUCCUCUGACGUUAGCGGCGGACGGGUGAGUAACACGUGGAUAACCUACCUAUAAGACUGGGAUAACUUCGGGAAACCGGAGCUAAUACCGGAUAAUAUAUUGAACCGCAUGGUUCAAUAGUGAAAGACGGUUUUGCUGUCACUUAUAGAUGGCUCCGCGCCGCAUUAGCUAGUUGGUAAGGUAACGGCUUACCAAGGCGACGAUGCGUAGCCGACCUGAGGGGGUGAUCGGCCACACUGGAACUGAGACACGGUCCAGACUCCUACGGGAGGCAGCAGUAGGGAAUCUUCCGCAAUGGACGAAAGCCUGACGGAGCAACGCCGCGUGAGUGAUGAAGGUCUUCGGAUCGUAAAACUCUGUUAUUAGGGAAGAACAAAUGUGUAAGUAACUAUGCACGUCUUGACGGUACCUAAUCAGAAAGCCACGGCUAACUACGUG